This 961-nucleotide long non-coding RNA is filed under the name Homo sapiens (human). RNAcentral's name for it is "HSALNT0310098". Lineage: Eukaryota; Metazoa; Chordata; Mammalia; Primates; Hominidae. The record is from RNAcentral.
AUUUCCCUUAGUGCCUGUCUUGUAAAUAAUCACCGCUCCCCAACCAGCCAUUCCCCAAAUGACAAGAACCAUCCUGUGGCCUUCUCCGCUCCCCAGCCUGGCCUGGCCUCAUUGUGCCUUGGAACUCUGUCCUCCUGCCUCACUCAAAAGGUACAUGAUUUGUAUCUUACUCCCACAACAGCGUGAUCCGAUGUCACCACAGGCGGGGACUUUUAAUGGGAAACCGAGACCCUGACCAGAUGGAAACUGCUGACUGAUGUCACAUAGACCUCAGACAAAAGGAAACUGAAGCCUGAACGAACUGCUGUUCUUUGUUCUAAAUUUCUUCCUGAGGGACCUGGAAAGACAGUCAUGACUGCAGGCCAUCAGUCUUGAUAACCUGACCACUCUGACCCAAUACAUAAUGGCUGUGACCUGACUCUCGCUUAGCACCCCAAGAUUGUUAAUAGGUUUCCUUAUCUUAACUAAUGUAGGUUAAAGCCAAACCUUGACAUCUCUUUCUGCUGACCCCAUGUUUUUAGACAAAGCCUUCCUCCAUUAACCCAUUGCAAAUUAAAGAAUCUCUGAAUUCACCUAAGACCUGUAAGCCUCUGCUUCAAGAUAUCCCACCUUUUUGGGCCAAACCCAUCUGUAACCUCCAUGAAUGAAUUCAUGAUUUUGCCUGUAACUUCUGCUUUUCUUAGAUGUACCCUUGUCUUUAAAAACCCUUGCUUGCAAGCCACUGGGGAGUCCAGAUCUUAAACAGGAGCUGCCCAUUCUCUGUGCUUGGUGCCCUGCAAUAAAUGCCUUCCUUUCUCUCAUUGUAAACCUCGGUGUCAGUGUUUGGCUUUGCUGAGCUGGGUGGGCAAACCUAGGCUCAGUUCCACAACAAUUACGAUAUCAUCAUCAUCAUUAGAGUCAUGAGGAAGAUGAAGAUGUGAAGAUGAUGCUGAUGAUGCUGAUGGUGACAGCUCCACAAUCC